Molecule: ribosomal RNA, 563 nt
Filed under: uncultured fungus
Lineage: Eukaryota; Fungi
Description: LSU rRNA
Rfam family: Eukaryotic large subunit ribosomal RNA
Source: RNAcentral
GUGAAAUUGUUGAAAGGGAAACGUUUGACACCAGUCAUGUGGGUGGAAAAUCAGUCUUUUGCAUUGGAGAGUUGUAAGGGUUCGGACCGCAAGGCCGGCUUUUGCUUCAUCUUUGGUGUAAGUGAUGCACUUUUUCAUCUACAGGUCAACAUCAGUUUCUUUUGCUGGACAAAACUCCGAGAGAAGGUAGCAGCUUAGGCUGUGUUAUAGCUCUGGAGCGAUACAGUGAAGGGGACUGAGGUUUUCGCAGCGUGUGCUCUCGGGCAAGGCUGGAUGGGUGCUAUGGGAUCGUUCGGGGUACAAUGCCUGGCAUUUUGCUUCGUGUCUUUUCUAUACUCGCUCAACUCAGCUCUUCCACGCUUAGGAUGUUGACUUAAUGGUUUUAAACGACCCGUCUUGAAACACGGACCAAGGAGUCUAACAUAUAUGCAAGUGUUUGGGUGGCAAACCCAUGCGCGUAAUGAAAGUGAACGUAGGUGCGAUCCGCAAGGUGCAGCAUCGACCGAUCUUGAUAUUUUUGGAUAGAUUUGAGUAAAGAGCAUAUAUGCUGGGACCCGAAAGAU